This 230-nucleotide ribosomal RNA is filed under the name uncultured bacterium. RNAcentral describes it as "partial 16S ribosomal RNA". It matches the Rfam family "Bacterial small subunit ribosomal RNA", at positions 562 to 791 of the family's 1533-position model. The record is from RNAcentral.
AAAGGGUGCGCAGGCGGCCGUGUGUGUCAGGUGUGAAAGCCCGGAGCUUAACUCCGGAAUUGCGCCUGAAACUACAUGGCUAGAGCAUUGGAGAGGGUAGCGGAAUUCACGGUGUAGCAGUGAAAUGCGUAGAUAUCGUGAGGAACACCAGAGGCGAAGGCGGCUACCUGGACAAUUGCUGACGCUCAGGCACGAAAGCGUGGGGAGCAAAAGGGAUUAGAUACCCUUGU